This 2902-nucleotide ribosomal RNA is filed under the name Klebsiella pneumoniae. Its description in RNAcentral is "23S ribosomal RNA". It matches the Rfam family "Bacterial large subunit ribosomal RNA". The record is from RNAcentral. Lineage: Bacteria; Pseudomonadati; Pseudomonadota; Gammaproteobacteria; Enterobacterales; Enterobacteriaceae.
GGUUAAGCGACUAAGCGUACACGGUGGAUGCCCUGGCAGUCAGAGGCGAUGAAGGACGUGCUAAUCUGCGAAAAGCGUCGGUAAGGUGAUAUGAACCGUUACAGCCGGCGAUGUCCGAAUGGGGAAACCCAGUGCAAUUCGUUGCACUAUCGUUAACUGAAUACAUAGGUUAACGAGGCGAACCGGGGGAACUGAAACAUCUAAGUACCCCGAGGAAAAGAAAUCAACCGAGAUUCCCCCAGUAGCGGCGAGCGAACGGGGAGCAGCCCAGAGUCUGAAUCAGCUUGUGUGUUAGUGGAACGGUCUGGAAAGUCCGACGGUACAGGGUGAUAGUCCCGUACACCAAAAUGCACAGGUUGUGAACUCGAAGAGUAGGGCGGGACACGUGGUAUCCUGUCUGAAUAUGGGGGGACCAUCCUCCAAGGCUAAAUACUCCUGACUGACCGAUAGUGAACCAGUACCGUGAGGGAAAGGCGAAAAGAACCCCGGCGAGGGGAGUGAAAAAGAACCUGAAACCGUGUACGUACAAGCAGUGGGAGCACCUUCGGGUGUGACUGCGUACCUUUUGUAUAAUGGGUCAGCGACUUAUAUUCUGUAGCAAGGUUAACCGUAUAGGGGAGCCGCAGGGAAACCGAGUCUUAACUGGGCGUUAAGUUGCAGGGUAUAGACCCGAAACCCGGUGAUCUAGCCAUGGGCAGGUUGAAGGUUGGGUAACACUAACUGGAGGACCGAACCGACUAAUGUUGAAAAAUUAGCGGAUGACUUGUGGCUGGGGGUGAAAGGCCAAUCAAACCGGGAGAUAGCUGGUUCUCCCCGAAAGCUAUUUAGGUAGCGCCUCGUGAAUUCAUCUUCGGGGGUAGAGCACUGUUUCGGCUAGGGGGUCAUCCCGACUUACCAACCCGAUGCAAACUACGAAUACCGAAGAAUGUUAUCACGGGAGACACACGGCGGGUGCUAACGUCCGUCGUGAAGAGGGAAACAACCCAGACCGCCAGCUAAGGUCCCAAAGUCAUGGUUAAGUGGGAAACGAUGUGGGAAGGCACAGACAGCCAGGAUGUUGGCUUAGAAGCAGCCAUCAUUUAAAGAAAGCGUAAUAGCUCACUGGUCGAGUCGGCCUGCGCGGAAGAUGUAACGGGGCUAAACCAUGCACCGAAGCUGCGGCAGCGACACUAUGUGUUGUUGGGUAGGGGAGCGUUCUGUAAGCCUGCGAAGGUGUGCUGUGAGGCAUGCUGGAGGUAUCAGAAGUGCGAAUGCUGACAUAAGUAACGAUAAAGCGGGUGAAAAGCCCGCUCGCCGGAAGACCAAGGGUUCCUGUCCAACGUUAAUCGGGGCAGGGUGAGUCGACCCCUAAGGCGAGGCCGAAAGGCGUAGUCGAUGGGAAACAGGUUAAUAUUCCUGUACUUGGUGUUACUGCGAAGGGGGGACGGAGAAGGCUAUGUUAGCCGGGCGACGGUUGUCCCGGUUUAAGCAUGUAGGCUGGUUAUCCAGGCAAAUCCGGAUAAUCAAGGCUGAGGUGUGAUGACGAGGCACUACGGUGCUGAAGUAACAAAUGCCCUGCUUCCAGGAAAAGCCUCUAAGCAUCAGGUAACAUCAAAUCGUACCCCAAACCGACACAGGUGGUCAGGUAGAGAAUACCAAGGCGCUUGAGAGAACUCGGGUGAAGGAACUAGGCAAAAUGGUGCCGUAACUUCGGGAGAAGGCACGCUGGUGUGUAGGUGAAGCCCCUGCGGGUGGAGCUGAGACCAGUCGAAGAUACCAGCUGGCUGCAACUGUUUAUUAAAAACACAGCACUGUGCAAACACGAAAGUGGACGUAUACGGUGUGACGCCUGCCCGGUGCCGGAAGGUUAAUUGAUGGGGUUAUCCGUAAGGAGAAGCUCUUGAUCGAAGCCCCGGUAAACGGCGGCCGUAACUAUAACGGUCCUAAGGUAGCGAAAUUCCUUGUCGGGUAAGUUCCGACCUGCACGAAUGGCGUAAUGAUGGCCAGGCUGUCUCCACCCGAGACUCAGUGAAAUUGAACUCGCUGUGAAGAUGCAGUGUACCCGCGGCAAGACGGAAAGACCCCGUGAACCUUUACUAUAGCUUGACACUGAACAUUGAGCCUUGAUGUGUAGGAUAGGUGGGAGGCUUUGAAGCGUGGACGCCAGUCUGCGUGGAGCCAACCUUGAAAUACCACCCUUUAAUGUUUGAUGUUCUAACGUUGGCCCCUUACCGGGGUUGCGGACAGUGUCUGGUGGGUAGUUUGACUGGGGCGGUCUCCUCCCAAAGCGUAACGGAGGAGCACGAAGGUUAGCUAAUCCUGGUCGGACAUCAGGAGGUUAGUGCAAUGGCAUAAGCUAGCUUGACUGCGAGCGUGACGGCGCGAGCAGGUGCGAAAGCAGGUCAUAGUGAUCCGGUGGUUCUGAAUGGAAGGGCCAUCGCUCAACGGAUAAAAGGUACUCCGGGGAUAACAGGCUGAUACCGCCCAAGAGUUCAUAUCGACGGCGGUGUUUGGCACCUCGAUGUCGGCUCAUCACAUCCUGGGGCUGAAGUAGGUCCCAAGGGUAUGGCUGUUCGCCAUUUAAAGUGGUACGCGAGCUGGGUUUAGAACGUCGUGAGACAGUUCGGUCCCUAUCUGCCGUGGGCGCUGGAGAAUUGAGGGGGGCUGCUCCUAGUACGAGAGGACCGGAGUGGACGCAUCACUGGUGUUCGGGUUGUCAUGCCAAUGGCACUGCCCGGUAGCUAAAUGCGGAAGAGAUAAGUGCUGAAAGCAUCUAAGCACGAAACUUGCCCCGAGAUGAGUUCUCCCUGAGACUUUAAGUCUCCUGAAGGAACGUUGAAGACGACGACGUUGAUAGGCCGGGUGUGUAAGCGCAGCGAUGCGUUGAGCUAACCGGUACUAAUGAACCGUGAGGCUUAACCUU